RNAcentral lists this ribosomal RNA (460 nucleotides) under uncultured bacterium. RNAcentral describes it as "partial 16S ribosomal RNA". It matches the Rfam family "Bacterial small subunit ribosomal RNA", at positions 338 to 795 of the family's 1533-position model. The record is from RNAcentral.
CCUACGGGUGGCUGCAGUGAGGAAUAUUGGUCAAUGGGCGCGAGCCUGAACCAGCCAAGUAGCGUGAAGGAUGACUGCCCUACGGGUUGUAAACUUCUUUUCUAAUGGAAUACAGUGAGGCACGUGUGACUUUUUGUAUGUACUUUAUGAAUAAGGCUCGGCUAACUCCGUGCCAGCAGCCGCGGUAAUACGGAGGAUCCGAGCGUUAUCCGGAUUUCUUGGGUUUAAAGGGAGCGUAGAUGGGUUGUUAAGUCAGUUGUGAAAGUUUGCGGCUCAACCGUAAAAUUGCAAUUGAUACUGGCAGUCUUGAGUACAGUUGAGGUAGGCGGAAUUCGUGGUGUAGCGGUGAAAUGCUUAGAUAUCACGAAGAACACCGAUUGCGAAGGCAGCUUACUAAACUGCCACUGACAUUGAUGCUCGAAAGUGUGGGUAUCAAACAGGAUUAGAUACCCCAGUAGUC